Molecule: long non-coding RNA, 459 nt
Filed under: Phoenix dactylifera (date palm)
Lineage: Eukaryota; Viridiplantae; Streptophyta; Magnoliopsida; Arecales; Arecaceae
Description: long non-coding RNA (PDAC_LNC004318)
Source: RNAcentral
AAAAUAUCAAUAAUGAAUAAUAUAAAAUUCGAGUGUUUGGUUUCAGUGGAGUGCAGAUUUUUUCACGCCUCAAGCUUAGAUGUUGAUAUCUUCUCUGCUUCAUCCUUCCUCGCUGAGAUUCAUGCUGUCAAUUGAGAUCGGAGACGCCAUGAUGGGCGCCACGUACCUUCUUCACAGAAGGGUGAUAACAGCUUGGUACCAGCUUUGCCUCCCUUUUCCUUAGAAAAAACAAGUCUUUCUUGCACUAGAUGUGAAUAAUAAACCACAGCUUUUAUAAAGUGCUGAAUAACCAUCACCUAGCAAUUCAGACAAUCAUUGGGCUAAGGAAUAAAAUGAUGAGCGUGAUUCAAGAAUUGUUCAAUAGUUUCAAGAAAGUAUUACUUGUUAUCAUGGACAAAUCUUAUUUUUAAAACCCUACGAAGCAGUGACAAUUAAGCAAAUCCUAAAUGGCAUUACAUG